This is a non-coding RNA of Heterocephalus glaber (naked mole-rat), 312 nucleotides long. NCBI's taxonomy places the organism in Eukaryota, Metazoa, Chordata, Mammalia, Rodentia, Bathyergidae. The record is from Rfam.
GACACAGAAUUUAAUUCAUUCUCCUACAGACUAACAUGAAGAUUCUUACUAAUUGUUCUGGUGAUUUUUUUUUCUCUUUCUAGAUUGUACACUAUGUCUUUGUGCGCCAUUUUUUGGACCCCCUACUCUUCUUGAAACUCUUCCCUGUUUAACUCUGGCUUCGGUACAAGGGUGUGGGGGGGGGCAGAGGUCUUUGUGAUGUAUUUCACUGAUGCUUCUAUACUGGGAGAUGCCUCCAAAUAUCAUUGCUUUCUUCCAGUUCUACUACACACAUGGGAGUUAUUUAGGGAGAACUUUCUGAGCUAUGGCCAA